Macrobrachium nipponense is the source of this 1258-nucleotide long non-coding RNA. RefSeq lists it as uncharacterized. The record is from RefSeq and is a predicted model, not a curated record. Lineage: Eukaryota; Metazoa; Arthropoda; Malacostraca; Decapoda; Palaemonidae. The transcript is spliced from 3 exons.
GGGCGGAGUUCAACUGUGUUGCAGGUCCGUUGUGGACAAGGCUUCUUCGUGGGAUUCUGCGACGGUUUAGACAAGGUUUCUUAGUGUGAUUUUACGACUGCUUAGACAAACUUCCUAAGUGUGAUUCUACGACUUCUUAGACAAGGUUUAUAUGUGUGAUUCUAAUACUGUUUAGACGAGGUUUCUUCGUGGGAUUCUACGGCGGUUUAGAUAAGAUGUCAACGUGUGAUUCUACGACCGUUUAAACCAACCAAGUGUGAUUCAAGAAUAUUUUGACAAAGUUUCUUUAUGAUUCUACGACUGUAUAUAAGACUCGUGGAGGUUCAAGGAUGGUUUAUGAAAGAUUCUACGAUAGCUAAGGCAAGAUUUCUUGUCAUUUUACGGCGCUGCUGAGUCUAUAUUGUCAACAGAUAUAUAAACAGGGGCAGUUACAUUAGUUGCCAAAUUCAGCUAUGCAGGGUAGCAUUGCCUAUGAAAUUGUGGAGUCUGAACAAACAGAAUUAUUUCAACGUACUUUUAUAUCAAGGGUUCUCGCUUUAAUUUCUGGUGUCAAUUCUAUGUUAAAGGAGUUACGAGAUUACUGACUCAAGUACUUGAGGCCUCCUGGCUUAUCAGCUGAAAAGUAGGACUCGUGGUGAUUUGAAAAGUAGGACUCGUGGUGAUUUGUGGUAGAAACACAUUUUAAAAAAGGCAGUUCCAGUGCAGUAACCUUGGUAUGACUACUUGAUGCUAAAUAAAUCGGGUGCUUGUGCUAAUUGGUUUAUUUUUUAAAUUUUGGGUUUAAGUGAUUAAUAUUAGUUUCAACCACUCAUAAGACUUAAAAAUUUGUCUUCUAAUGUGAGUUGUAAGCAGUUUUUCUUUACGUGAUGAUCCUAAUUUUCUGUCUUGUAAUUAAAGACUUUUUGUUUAAUUUUUUAGAUUAAUAAAGAUCCUGGAGUUUUAAAUAGGUAAAAAAAGUUUUUUUCUCUUCCUACUAUUCUGGCUGUAGACACUUAAAAGGGAUAGUGCAUAAUUUAAGGCAAAAAUGUUAAUGGGACAGGUGGUAUAUAGGGAAUUACAUUUUAGAUUCCAAAUUUAAGGUUAGUUUACUUUGCCUAAUUUCCUGACCUGGAGUUUCCUUUAAAGAUUUUUUUAAUAUGAUUUGAAGAAUUAAUUUUUGUCACUCCUUUCAAUUCAGUGUGAGAGGUAACUUGCCAUUUGUGUUUUUUUGUAAAUGUCAAGGUUUCAGGUUUAGAAAUAGCUAUACAAAAAAAAUCGG